CUACAAAUAAGUCAACAUGACCAAAAUGGUCAGUUGACCACUUUAGGAGUUAUUGCCCUUUAUAGUCAAUUUUUAACCAUUUUUCAUAAAUCUUAGUAAUCUUUUAGAAAAAUCUUCUCCUCUGAAACUACUGGGCCAAAUUUAACUAAACUUGGCCAUAAUCAUCAUUGGGGUAUCUAGUUAAAAAAAUGUGUCCGGUGACCCGGCCAACCAACCAAGAUGGCCGCCAUGGCUAAAAAUAGAACAUAGGG
RNAcentral lists this long non-coding RNA (251 nucleotides) under Mytilus galloprovincialis (Mediterranean mussel). The record is from RNAcentral. Lineage: Eukaryota; Metazoa; Mollusca; Bivalvia; Mytilida; Mytilidae.